This 247-nucleotide unclassified non-coding RNA is filed under the name Hevea brasiliensis (rubber tree). Lineage: Eukaryota; Viridiplantae; Streptophyta; Magnoliopsida; Malpighiales; Euphorbiaceae. The record is from RNAcentral.
UGACGGUUUGCGGUUUCUGCGCCUGCUCGAAGGCGACAUCGACGAUGUAGUUCUUGUCCUCGCGGAAGGCGUGGAUAUCCGCCUCGCCGAUCAGCGCAAUAUCGACGCGUGACGCAUCGCCUUCGAUCUUCNNAUCGAUGUGAUGUUCGCAGGCAUCGCGAUCUUCGCGUCCGCAAGAUCGAACACCAGCGGCGAAGUGAACGACAGCGUGAAUUUCUCCGUGCUCAACGAGGACGACACGUUGACG